AUGAACGCUAGCGGCAGGCUUAACACAUGCAAGUCGAGGGGCAGCAUAAUGAAGUAGCAAUACGGAAUUGAUGGCGACCGGCGCACGGGUGCGUAACGCGUAUGUAACCUACCUUUAACAGGGGGAUAACACUGAGAAAUUGGUACUAAUACCCCAUAACACUUGAUAGGGCAUCCUAUUGAGUUGAAAGUUCCGGCGGUUAGAGAUGGACAUGCGUUGUAUUAGCUAGAUGGUGAGGUAACGGCUCACCAUGGCGACGAUACAUAGGGGGACUGAGAGGUUAACCCCCCACACUGGUACUGAGACACGGACCAGACUCCUACGGGAGGCAGCAGUGAGGAAUAUUGGUCAAUGGACGCAAGUCUGAACCAGCCAUGCCGCGUGCAGGAUGACGGCUCUAUGAGUUGUAAACUGCUUUUGUACAAGGGUAAACCCCGAUACGUGUAUCGGGCUGAAAGUACUGUACGAAUAAGGAUCGGCUAACUCCGUG
RNAcentral lists this ribosomal RNA (490 nucleotides) under uncultured bacterium. RNAcentral describes it as "bacterial SSU rRNA". It matches the Rfam family "Bacterial small subunit ribosomal RNA", at positions 29 to 507 of the family's 1533-position model. The record is from RNAcentral.